AAAACAUCGCCUCUUGCAAAUAAAUGAAUAAGAGGUCCCGCCUGCCCUGUGACUAUAUGUUUAACGGCCGCGGUAUUUUGACCGUGCGAAGGUAGCGCAAUCACUUGUCUUUUAAAUGAAGACCUGUAUGAAUGGCAUCACGAGGGCUUAGCUGUCUCCCCAUCCCAGUCAAUGAAAUUGAUCUCCCCGUGCAGAAGCGGGGAUAAAAACAUAAGACGAGAAGACCCUAUGGAGCUUAAGACGCCAGAAUAGCUCAUGUUAAACAUUCUAUGGCCAAAAGAAAUAAACUAAAUGAGAUCCUAUCCUAAUGUCUUUGGUUGGGGCGACCGCGGAGAAAAACUUAACCCCCAUGUGGAUUAGGAAUACUAUCUUCCCAGACCCAAGAGCCCCCACUCUAAUAAACAGAACUUCUGACUAAAAAGAUCCGGCAAUGCCGAUCAACGGACCGAGUUACCCUAGGGAUAACAGCGCAAUCCUCUUAAAGAGUCCCUAUCGACAAGAGGGUUUACGACCUCGAUGUUGGAUCAGGACAUCCUAAUGGUGCAGCCGCUAUUAAGGGUUCGCCGUCGGUACUAGUC
RNAcentral lists this ribosomal RNA (578 nucleotides) under Acanthopagrus bifasciatus (twobar seabream). RNAcentral's name for it is "partial 16S ribosomal RNA". It matches the Rfam family "Bacterial large subunit ribosomal RNA", at positions 1810 to 2595 of the family's 2925-position model. Lineage: Eukaryota; Metazoa; Chordata; Actinopteri; Spariformes; Sparidae. The record is from RNAcentral.